This is a non-coding RNA of Miniopterus natalensis, 1418 nucleotides long. The record is from RefSeq and is a predicted model, not a curated record. Lineage: Eukaryota; Metazoa; Chordata; Mammalia; Chiroptera; Miniopteridae.
GGCAUCAGCACUGCUCCCAACACCGCCCGGGGCGCGCAGACGCGCCGCCUUUAAAGGUGUUGGCGAGACCCGCACGGGCCUGUGACCUCCGGGAGGCCCUGACGACCCUGGUUCUGCGUUAGGCAGAGCGAUCGGCCUGAUUCAUGGCUCCCAACCGUCCUGCUGCUUCGCUCCCCGCUCCCCCUGGCUUUUUGAGCCAGGUCAAGCUGAGCCCGAGCGUCAGAUCCUCUGUGACACAGACCACCACCUUGAGAGCAAAGAACAUGAAUAAAUGCCAUUACAGCACCGUAAGGAGAGAGGAAGAAAAUCAGAUCCAAUGAAGUGAAAAAAUAUACCUGACAUCUCCAUCUGGUGUCUAAUAGACAUCUCGGAAUUAACAUGGACAAACCAGGCCCCGGGUCACCUGCCCUAAAUGUACCCCACCCACAGCCUUCCCCUUUCCAGUUAAUGCCAUCUACACCCUUCCAGUUGCCCAGCUGAAAAAACGUCGGAGUCUUUCUUGACUCUUUCCUUUCUCUGACACUCCACAGGGUCAAUAAUCCUACCUGCUCUGACCUUCAAAGUACUAUAUCUGGGAUCUAACCUCCACCUACCACUUCUACUGCCAUGACCCUGGUCUUAGUCAGCAGCAACUUUUGCCUGUACUUUGCAAUAACCACCUACCUGGUCUCCCUCUUAAGGCGCUUGCCUCCAGCAGUAUACUUCGAGUCUUUUGGGUCCAGCUCAAGUCACUCCUCUGCUAAAAAGUAAAAAUAAAAAACCCAUUGGCUCCCCAUCUCAUUUACGCUGAAAGCCAGAGUCCUUACCAUGGCCUAAAUUCCUGUGGACAGGGUCCCCACCACCCCUUCUCUCUCUGACCUACUAGUACUGCUACUACUACUACUCUAUCCUUGGCUCGUUUUCCCAGCCCCUUGGCCUCCAUGCUGUUUCUGCAACACAAGGAGCAAGCUCCGGUCUUAUGCCCUUUCCAUUUGCUGUGUGCUCUGCCGCCUGAAUUAUCUCCCCACUCCCCCCAGCCCACCAAAAACAAAACAAAACCUAGAACGUUGUUCCCUCACCUCCUUAAUAUCUGUAUUCAAAUGUCAUUUUCCCUGUAACUUCACGUGCCUUAGCUCUCUCCCUUUUCUUACCACCACCUAACAUAUUAUAAUUUCACCUAUUUGUUUUAUUUAUUGUUUGUCUCCCUCCACUGUAACGUAUGCUGCUGAAGUCAAUGAUUUUUGUUCCCUUUUUUGCAGCUAUUUCCAAAGACACAGUGUAAAUGAAUUAAUAACCAUAGCGUCACAUUUUGUGUGUGAGAGAUUGUUAUAUAUAUUAUCUCACUUGGGGCGGGGGGGCAGCAGAGAGGCUGGGAGAGAAAUCCUCUCUGAACCUGUUUUCUGUUCUAUAAUAAAGGAGUAAGAACUGCAUGCCCCAAA